AAGUCGUAACAAGGUUUCCGUAGGUGAACCUGCGGAAGGAUCAUUAAAAUACUUUUCAAAACUUUGUUUUGAAUUAAAAGCAACCACCGUUAAGUUCAAAAAUCUAAAACAAAACUUUCAACAACGGAUCUCUUGGUUCUC
Molecule: unclassified non-coding RNA, 141 nt
Filed under: Candidozyma haemuli
Lineage: Eukaryota; Fungi; Ascomycota; Pichiomycetes; Serinales; Metschnikowiaceae
Description: [Candida] haemulonis partial internal transcribed spacer region
Rfam family: Eukaryotic small subunit ribosomal RNA (bases 1-46)
Source: RNAcentral